RNAcentral lists this ribosomal RNA (406 nucleotides) under uncultured bacterium. RNAcentral's name for it is "partial 16S ribosomal RNA". It matches the Rfam family "Bacterial small subunit ribosomal RNA", at positions 28 to 526 of the family's 1533-position model. The record is from RNAcentral.
GACGAACGCUGGCGGCGUGCCUAACACAUGCAAGUCGAACGCGUGGCGGACGGGUGCGUAAUGUCUGGGAAACUGCCCGCUGGAGGGGGAUAACUUCUGGAACCGGUAGCUAAUACCGCAUACUAUCGGCUGAACCCAUAUGGGAUUAGCUAGUAGGUGGGGUAAAGGCUCACCUAGGCGACGAUCUCUAGCUGGUCUGAGAGGAUGAUCGGCCACACUGGGACUGAGACACGGCCCAGACUCCUACGGGAGGCAGCAGUGGGGAAUAUUGCACAAUGGGCGCAAGCCUGAUGCAGCCAUGCCGCGUGUAUGAAGAAGGCCUUCGGGUUGUAAAGUACUUUCAGCGAGGAGGCGUUACUCGCAGAAGAAGCACCGGCUAACUCCGUGCCAGCAGCCGCGGUAAUAC